This 210-nucleotide non-coding RNA is filed under the name Spirosoma linguale. Lineage: Bacteria; Pseudomonadati; Bacteroidota; Cytophagia; Cytophagales; Cytophagaceae. The record is from RNAcentral.
CUUUGUCAUCGAGUUAUCGGUGCCUGAUGCUGCUUCGUAGCGGCUUUCAAGGCUUAAAAGGGAAGUUGGUGUAACGCCAGCGCUGUCCCCGCAACUGUAAGUCUUACCUAAAAUCGGUUCAAUCUACAUGACCACUGCGCUGACCGCCAGCGUGGGAAGGUCCGAUCCGAUAAGACGAGCCAGGAGACCUGCCGAAGACCAUCCGUUGUU